UCCGCCUUGGUGUAAUGGCAGCACGACAGCCUUUGGAGCUGUGAGGUCCAGGUUCGAGUCCUGGAGGCGGAGCCAUCU
This 78-nucleotide transfer RNA is filed under the name Leifsonia xyli subsp. xyli str. CTCB07. RNAcentral describes it as "tRNA-Gln". It matches the Rfam family "tRNA". From Rfam's summary of the family: Transfer RNA (tRNA) molecules are approximately 80 nucleotides in length. The record is from RNAcentral. Lineage: Bacteria; Bacillati; Actinomycetota; Actinomycetes; Micrococcales; Microbacteriaceae.